This 506-nucleotide ribosomal RNA is filed under the name uncultured bacterium. RNAcentral describes it as "partial 16S ribosomal RNA". It matches the Rfam family "Bacterial small subunit ribosomal RNA", at positions 29 to 523 of the family's 1533-position model. The record is from RNAcentral.
AGUGAACGCUGGCGGUAGGCCUAACACAUGCAAGUCGAACGGCAGCACAGGAGAGCUUGCUCUCUGGGUGGCGAGUGGCGGACGGGUGAGGAAUACAUCGGAAUCUACUCUGUCGUGGGGGAUAACGUAGGGAAACUUACGCUAAUACCGCAUACGACCUACGGGUGAAAGCAGGGGAUCUUCGGACCUUGCGCGAUUGAAUGAGCCGAUGUCGGAUUAGCUAGUUGGCGGGGUAAAGGCCCACCAAGGCGACGAUCCGUAGCUGGUCUGAGAGGAUGAUCAGCCAUACUGGAACUGAGACACGGUCCAGACUCCUACGGGAGGCAGCAGUGGGGAAUAUUGGACAAUGGGCGCAAGCCUGAUCCAGCCAUACCGCGUGGGUGAAGAAGGCCUUCGGGUUGUAAAGCCCUUUUGUUGGGAAAGAAAUCCAGCUGGCUAAUACCCGGUUGGGAUGACGGUACCCAAAGAAUAAGCACCGGCUAGCUUCGUGCCAGCCGCCGCGGUAA